Molecule: ribosomal RNA, 266 nt
Filed under: uncultured bacterium
Lineage: Bacteria
Description: partial 16S ribosomal RNA
Rfam family: Bacterial small subunit ribosomal RNA
Source: RNAcentral
GUCCACGCCCUAAACGAUGUCAACUAGUUGUUCGGUGAGGAGACUCAUUGAGUAACGCAGCUAACGCGUGAAGUUGACCGCCUGGGGAGUACGGCCGCAAGGUUAAAACUCAAAGGAAUUGACGGGGACCCGCACAAGCGGUGGAUGAUGUGGAUUAAUUCGAUGCAACGCGAAAAACCUUACCUACCCUUGACAUGUCAGGAACCCUUGAGAGAUUGAGGGGUGCCCGAAAGGGAACCUGAACACAGGUGCUGCAUGGCUGUCGU